GCUAACACAUGCAAGUCGAACGGGGUCUUCGGAUCUAGUGGCGGACGGGUGAGUAACGCGUGAGAUCUGCCUUCAGGAUGGGGACAACAGUUGGAAACGACUGCUAAUACCCGAUAUGACGAAAGUUGAAAGAUUUAUCGCCUGGAGAUGAGCUCGCGUCAGAUUAGCUAGAUGGUGUGGUAACGGCGCACCAUGGCGACGAUCUGUAGCUGGUCUGAGAGGAUGAGCAGCCACACUGGGACUGAGACACGGCCCAGACUCCUACGGGAGGCAGCAGUGGGGAAUUUUCCGCAAUGGGCGCAAGCCUGACGGAGCAAUACCGCGUGAGGGAGGAAGGCUCUUGGGUCGUAAACCUCUUUUAUCAGGGAAGAACACAAUGACGGUACCUGAGGAAUCAGCAUCGGCUAACUCCGUGCCAGCAGCCGCGGUAAUACGGAGGAUGCAAGCGUUAUCCGGAAUGAUUGGGCGUAAAGCGUCCGUAGGUGGUCAUGUAAGUCUGUGGUUAAAGCGUGGGGCUCAACCCCAUAAGGGCCAUGGAAACUACACGACUAGAGUCAAGUAGGGGUAGAGGGAAUUCCCAGUGUAGCGGUGAAAUGCGUAGAGAUUGGGAAGAACACCGGUGGCGAAAGCGCUCUACUGGACUUAAACUGACAC
RNAcentral lists this ribosomal RNA (654 nucleotides) under uncultured bacterium. RNAcentral describes it as "bacterial SSU rRNA". It matches the Rfam family "Bacterial small subunit ribosomal RNA", at positions 46 to 746 of the family's 1533-position model. The record is from RNAcentral.